GUUCUAUUCUUCAAAACACAUCCAUAUCCAAUCGUUACAAUAAAACAAGAGAACAAGAUAAACUAACAUAUCAUACAAAUACGGAAUGCAAUCCGCAUAUCAAUACACCAAAGACUGGUUAAGGAGAGAUAACUCUCAUAAAAGUAUGUUAACUUUACCAAACGACUUGACAUACCAAACUGACAUAUAACAUCCCCCCGAACAAAUAAACAAACCCCGUUUGUUUUCAAUGGUCAAGGCGUUUGGUCAUUUAAAAUAGUUCAAAAAUCUAUUAUUUUCAUAAAAAAUAAAGAUGGCUAAUUUAUGUUUUCCAAGCUAUUAUUCAUUCAAUCAAUAUCAAAUCUUUUACUAUACUCAAAAUAAAAAUCACUUCCUACUGCAUAUUCCACAAUACAAUUGGUUAUACAGAGCAAACUUUAAUAAAUGAUGACACCAGCAGAGACCUUGGCUCUUAUUAAAUGGAAAUACAAUUAAAGCAACACAAUGGCCAUAUACGCUGCCUCAAAAAAUACAACCAUAAAAAAUAGGUUAUUUCUGGUAUUGUACACCAAAUCCGUCAUUACAAAUGACAACAAUAUAAAUGCUCCUUAAAACGCAGUAUUUUCCUUUUAAUUGCAUAAAUGCAAUAUUUGCUAUUAAUCAAACUUCAAAAAUGACUAUUCAUUUGAAAGCAAACGUUAAAAUAUAUUUUUCUUCAACAAAAUGAAUUACUUAAAUUCAAAACUUUCUCUACUAAAUUAACUUCUCUUCUCAAAUCGUAACUGAUCCGUAACUAAAAAAUAUACAAUUAAGAAUAAAACUUCAACAAAAAAUCAAAAACAGUAACUUUGAAGUAAAAAUCUUUUAAAACUGC
This 853-nucleotide long non-coding RNA is filed under the name Mytilus galloprovincialis (Mediterranean mussel). Lineage: Eukaryota; Metazoa; Mollusca; Bivalvia; Mytilida; Mytilidae. The record is from RNAcentral.